UCCAAAGUCACACAAAAAAAAGUUUGGAGUGUGUAACCAGAGAGUCAGGGGGAGGUUUUCAUGUUGUACUGCAGUCGCUCAGAUGUCAGUUUGAAUUUCAGAUUUGGGAUUUGGAAGCAUAAAAUGCGGCCUUGUAAUGGGAAACUACCAAGGAAACUUUUGGAUGUUUUGACUGUUACCUCCAAAAUAAGAGGCAGGGGAGGGGCCUGGACAGGAUCGGGGAUGCAUGAAGUAUCAGGUACAAAUAUGGGUCCUUUCUGGAACAAACGCUGAGGCACUAUUUGGAUUAGCCGUUUGCUCCGCUCAGGGUGGUCUGGGAUACAGAGUUUAUGUUUAAUUUAAACAUACGCUCUGUCUGAGUCUGCAUACUGUCACUGAGCUGAGAAAAGCCAUGCUGCCCAUAAAACAAGAGGUGAGAUUGUAGGACUAAUGUGUAGCUGAUGACUGGACCCAUAAAAAAUGUUUUGUUUGUUUGCAAUCUGACAGAGAAUUGUGUGGAACUCACACGCAGAAUAGAUUUAUAGAUAUAGUUCUCACCUUUUCAUGAAGUUGCUGUCUUGGAUUGUGCAACUUACCUUUCAUUCUCUCGAUCAUCUGUGCGACUGUGUUAGCCUGGGACAAAAGAUUAAUUUGUCUCGAAAGAGUUGGUUGGAAAUCCCUCAUCAGAAAAGGCUGUUUGUAAAAGGAAUGUAGGUCUCUCAGUCAGGCGGGAGAACAAAGAUUGACCACCCAAGAAUUUAAGAAUAUAAGAACUUAAGGUUAAGACAUUUGAUAUUGAAGUGCAACAUCCCCAGUUUGUGUUCAGUUGAGGAACUUUGUUGCAUGUCAUUUCCCGUUUCUGUUUCCCCUCUUUUCCUCUCAAAUCAGCACCGAAACAACCAUCUAAGUUGAAAUUCCAAGUUGGAAAUCCGAGACUGACUUCACCGACAAAACUUUUCACCACUUUUUAUUUCAAGUACGAUCUGCAGUGAUCAUAUCAGUUGAUACAUGUUUGAUCUUAGUCUUGUCGAGCAGCCCGUGCAAGUUAAAUCAGCUCCUGUAGUUGCCUGUGAAGUUCACAGACUUGCCGUUUAAACAUCCGUUUCGUGCCACAUCCACGUUCUCCAGAGCAGAUGCACUGGGUGCAAUUUAGGUUGGAAGUCGGGAAUAGUGAAUUGCGACUUGCAAUGGAUUGCAGCAAAACAUGACAACUUUUUUUUUUACCUGAUGAUGGUGCUCAUGGAAACGUUUAGGGUUCUUACAAUUCAUCAAGGAGCUGACCUGACACGCCAGAUGAUGUUUUUUUUCUACACAGAACGUUGGUGGACACCCUUGGAAACUGCAUAAAAGGGCUCUCAUCAAGAAAUACUUGGCAGCAGUUGCUUCUCUCACGAGAUGUUACAGCUAAAGCACGUCCAUAGCUGCCAGUGGUUCCUCGCAGGGCGCCCACUGGUCCAAACCACUGUGGUUCAUCCGCAGGUUGAAUCCCGCCGAGAUGGAUUUCCCGAAUCACGCUAGCUCCCAAGCUCCAGCGGAAAACAGAGACAAGCUUGCGGAGGUUGUCGAUUGAGAAAGCUGUCAGCUGCACUGACGCACCACAGACUCACCGCUAAAACACUCUUGAUCAGAGUGUAGAGUAAACACAGCCUGUCUGGACACGGGCCGGGAUAUCAAUCAGACAGUGAAGGGCUACAAGAGAAAACGACAGGUACUGACCUGUCACGGUUCGGCAGAGAGAACCGGAUGAAGAUUUGUUUUUAAUUAAACAGCAGA
Acanthopagrus latus (yellowfin seabream) is the source of this 1752-nucleotide long non-coding RNA. RefSeq lists it as uncharacterized. The transcript has 3 exons. The record is from RefSeq and is a predicted model, not a curated record. NCBI's taxonomy places the organism in Eukaryota, Metazoa, Chordata, Actinopteri, Spariformes, Sparidae.